Molecule: transfer RNA, 75 nt
Filed under: Fervidicoccus fontis Kam940
Lineage: Archaea; Thermoproteati; Thermoproteota; Thermoprotei; Fervidicoccales; Fervidicoccaceae
Description: tRNA-Arg
Rfam family: tRNA
About the family: Transfer RNA (tRNA) molecules are approximately 80 nucleotides in length. Their secondary structure includes four short double-helical elements and three loops (D, anti-codon, and T loops).
Source: RNAcentral
GGCCCGUAGCCUAGCCAGGAUAGGGCGCCGGCCUCCGGAGCCGGUGAUCCGGGGUUCAAAUCCCCGCGGGCCCGU